CACGUAGGAACCUGACACGCAGUGGGGGAUAACGCGGGGAAACCGGCGCUAAUACCGCAUGAUGCCACAGGAGGAGACUCUUGUGAAGAAAGGCGCAAGUCGCUGUGUGAGGGGCCUGCGGUCGAUUAGUUAGUUGGUGAGGUAAGGGCUCACCAAGGCGAUGAUCGGUAGCUGGUCUGAGAGGAUGGUCAGCCACACUGGGACUGAGACACGGCCCAG
Molecule: ribosomal RNA, 219 nt
Filed under: uncultured bacterium
Lineage: Bacteria
Description: partial 16S ribosomal RNA
Rfam family: Bacterial small subunit ribosomal RNA
Source: RNAcentral